GGGUAACUCCUAAAUAAAUUAUUUUCUUAUUCCCACAUACAUCGAUUAUUGCUCAUCAACUGCGUUCUCAAAAUCUUGUCCAAUCUCUCUUUCACGAUCUACACGGAGGUUUUUGGUUCAUUCUGGAGAUUCAAUAGCAAUGGCGAACAAACCUCAGAUCCGCACCAAUAGUUCGGCGCUCAUAGCUAUGAUCGCCGACGAGUUUAGCAAAUUUUAAGUAUAAGAGAUGGAAUCCAACCUUCAAAAGAAUUUCCAUUACCAUACCAUCUUACUUGAGUAUAGUAAAUUGGUAAGACCAGAGCUUCAACUUGGUCAUGUUAGUUAAAUUUGCAUUCGUUUAUAGCAUAAAACUGCUCCAUUAGUUUUGAAUUUGAUUUACUGACCCGAGAUUAAUGGUGCAUAUGCUGUCAAUGGGUCCUAUAGUGGAGAGGGCAAAAAUAUAUAGGGUAAUUUUGAGAAUUUGAUAGGGGCAUUUAGUGAAUAACUUGAGCUUUAUUUAGAAAUUAGUAGUAUAAAAUAUAUAGACGAGUGAGGGGGGCUUUUGCCCCACCUAGCCCAAAGCUGGCUCAUCCCCUGCUUGAAGCAGACCAAUAGUUGCAUGUCACUCCUAAAAGAUAAUUUUAGGUAUUACUGUUAUUAGGCUUAGGCAGCAGUCACAUAUGCUUUUAGAUGAAAUGCUUUAUGUGUUUUACUGGGAUUCUGUCCCCUUUACUGUUUGUUUUUCUAUAUUUCUAAUGUAA
This is a long non-coding RNA of Salvia splendens (bonfire salvia), 740 nucleotides long. RefSeq lists it as uncharacterized. NCBI's taxonomy places the organism in Eukaryota, Viridiplantae, Streptophyta, Magnoliopsida, Lamiales, Lamiaceae. The transcript is spliced from 3 exons. The record is from RefSeq and is a predicted model, not a curated record.